GACAGAGGAUGCAAGCGUUAUCCGGAAUGAUUGGGCGUAAAGCGUCUGUAGGUGGCUUUUAAGUCCGCCGUCAAAUCCCAGGGCGUCAACCCUGGACAGGCGGUGGAAACUACCAAGCUGGAGUACGGUAGGGCAGAGGAAUUUCCGGUGGAGCGGUGAAAUGCGUAGAGAUCGGAAAGAACACCAACGGCGAAAGCACUCUGCUGGCCGACACUGACACUGAGAGACGAAAGCUAGGUAGCAAUGG
RNAcentral lists this ribosomal RNA (247 nucleotides) under uncultured bacterium. RNAcentral describes it as "partial 16S ribosomal RNA". It matches the Rfam family "Bacterial small subunit ribosomal RNA", at positions 524 to 774 of the family's 1533-position model. The record is from RNAcentral.